Molecule: ribosomal RNA, 364 nt
Filed under: 'Phoenix dactylifera' aster yellows phytoplasma
Lineage: Bacteria; Bacillati; Mycoplasmatota; Mollicutes; Acholeplasmatales; Acholeplasmataceae
Description: bacterial SSU rRNA
Rfam family: Bacterial small subunit ribosomal RNA
Source: RNAcentral
UGAGGCACGAAAGCGUGGGGAGCAAACAGGAUUAGAUACCCUGGUAGUCCACGCCGUAAACGAUGAGUACUAAGUGUUGGGUUAAACCAGUGCUGAAGUUAACACAUUAAGUACUCCGCCUGAGUAGUACGUACGCAAGUAUGAAACUUAAAGGAAUUGACGGGACUCCGCACAAGCGGUGGAUCAUGUUGUUUAAUUCGAAGAUACACGAAAAACCUUACCAGGUCUUGACAUACUCUGCAAAGCUAUAGAAAUAUAGUGGAGGUUAUCAGGGAUACAGGUGGUGCAUGGUUGUCGUCAGCUCGUGUCGUGAGAUGUUGGGUUAAGUCCCGCAACGAGCGCAACCCUUAUCACUAGUUACCAU